CCUACGGGGGGCAGCAGUGGGGGAUAUUGCACAAUGGGGGAAACCCUGAUGCAGCGACGCCGCGUGUAGGAAGACGGUCCUCUGGAUUGUAAACUACUGUCCCCAGGGACGAAGAUGCCGUUACCUGGGGAGGACGCUCCGGCUCACUACGUGCCAGCAGCCGCGGUAAUACGUAGGGAGCGAGCGUUGUCCGGAAUUACUGGGCGUAAAGCGCUCGUAGGCGGUAUGUCAAGUCAAGGGUGAAAUCCCCGCGCUCAACGGGGGAACUGCCUUUGAAACUGGCAAACUGGAGUGUGUGAGAGGAUAGUGGAAUUCCAGGUGGAGGAGGGAAAUCCGUAGAUAUCUGGAGGAAAAUCAGUGGCGAAGGCGACUAGCUGGCACAUAACUGACGCUGAGGAGCGAAAGCGUGGGUAGCAAACAGGAUUAGAUACCCUUGUAGUC
RNAcentral lists this ribosomal RNA (441 nucleotides) under uncultured bacterium. RNAcentral's name for it is "partial 16S ribosomal RNA". It matches the Rfam family "Bacterial small subunit ribosomal RNA", at positions 338 to 795 of the family's 1533-position model. The record is from RNAcentral.